Molecule: ribosomal RNA, 495 nt
Filed under: uncultured bacterium
Lineage: Bacteria
Description: partial 16S ribosomal RNA
Rfam family: Bacterial small subunit ribosomal RNA
Source: RNAcentral
GAUGAACGCUGGCGGCGUGCCUAAUGCAUGCAAGUAGAACGCUGAAGGAGGAGCUUGCUCUUCUGGAUGAGUUGCGAACGGGUGAGUAACGCGUAGGUAACCUGCCUGGUAGCGGGGGAUAACUUUGGGAAACGUUAGCUAUUACCGCAUGACACCAGUUAUUGCUUGAUAACUUUUUAAAAGGGGCACCUGCUCCCCUACCAGAUGGCCUUGCGUUGUAUUAGCUAGUUGGUGAGGUAACGGCUCACCAAGGCGACGAUACUUAGCCGACCUGAGAGGGUGAUCGGCCACACUGGGACUGAGACACGGCCCAGACUCCUACGGGAGGCAGCAGUAGGGAAUCUUCGGCAAUGGACGGAAGUCUGACCGAGCAACGCCGCGUGAGUGAAGAAGGUUUUCGGAUCGUAAAGCUCUGUUGUAAGAGAAGAACGAGUGUGAGAGUGGAAAGUUCACACUGUGACGGUAUCUUACCAGAAAGGGACGGCUAACUACGUG